GACGAACGCUGGCGGCGUGCUUAACACAUGCAAGUCGAACGGAAAGGCCUCUUUCGGGGGGUACUCGAGUGGCGAACGGGUGAGUAACACGUGAGUAACCUGCCCUUGACUUUGGGAUAACUUCAGGAAACUGGGGCUAAUACCGGAUAGGAGCUCCUGCUGCAUGGUGGGGGUUGGAAAGUUUCGGCGGUUGGGGAUGGACUCGCGGCUUAUCAGCUUGUUGGUGGGGUAGUGGCUUACCAAGGCUUUGACGGGUAGCCGGCCUGAGAGGGUGACCGGCCACAUUGGGACUGAGAUACGGCCCAGACUCCUACGGGAGGCAGCAGUGGCGAAUAUUGCACAAUGGGUGGAAGCCUGAUGCAGCAACGCCGUGUGCGGGAUGACGGCCUUCGGGUUGUAAACCGCUUUCGCUCAUGACGAAGCUUUGUGUGACGGUAGUGGGUAAAGAAGCACCGGCUAACUACGU
This 466-nucleotide ribosomal RNA is filed under the name uncultured bacterium. RNAcentral describes it as "partial 16S ribosomal RNA". It matches the Rfam family "Bacterial small subunit ribosomal RNA", at positions 28 to 506 of the family's 1533-position model. The record is from RNAcentral.